RNAcentral lists this ribosomal RNA (1473 nucleotides) under uncultured bacterium. RNAcentral describes it as "bacterial SSU rRNA". It matches the Rfam family "Bacterial small subunit ribosomal RNA". The record is from RNAcentral.
CCUGGCUCAGGAUGAACGCUGGCGGCGUGCCUAACACAUGCAAGUCGAACGGUCGGAGCAAUCCGAUAGUGGCGCACGGGUGAGGAACACGUAGCUGACCUGCCUCAGAGCGCGGGACAACGGGUCGAAAGACCUGCUAAUACCGCAUACGGUUCACGGAACUAGACGCCGUGAAAGAAAGGCGAAAGCCGCUCCGAGAGGGGGCUGCGACCCAUCAGGUAGUUGGUGUGGUAAAAGCACACCAAGCCGACGACGGGUAGCGGGUCUGAGAGGAUGACCCGCCACACUGGGACUGAGACACGGCCCAGACUCCUACGGGAGGCAGCAGUGAGGGAUAUUGCACAAUGGGGGAAACCCUGAUGCAGCGACGCCGCGUGGGUGAUGAAGGACUUCGGUUCGUAAAACCCUUUUACAGGUGACGAGACAAGGACGGUAGCCUGUGAAUAAGCCUCGGCUAACUACGUGCCAGCAGCCGCGGUAAAACGUAGAGGCAAGCGUUAUCCGGAGUUACUGGGCGUAAAGGGCGCGCAGGUGGUUUGGUAAGUGUGGCGUGAAAGCUCCCGGCUAAACCGGGAGAGGUCGAAACAGACUGCCAGACUCGAGAGUGAUAAAGUACGCGGAAUUCGGGGUGUACGGUGAAAUGUGUAAGAUCCCGAGGAACACCAUGGUGAAAACGGCGUACUGGGUCAUAUCUGACACUGAGGCGCGAAACUUGGGGAGCGAACGGGAUUUAUAGACCCCGGUUUUCCAACCGUUAACGAUGCUUGGCUUGGAUGUCCACCCUGUCGAAAGGCAGGGGGGUGUCGAAGCCAACGCGAUAAGCAAGCCGCCUGGGGAGUACGGUCGCAAGGCUAAAACUCAAAGGAAUUGACGGGGGCCCGCACAAGCAGCGGAGCGUGUGGUUUAAUUCGAGGCUACACGAAGAACCUUACCUGGGUUUGACAUGCAGGUGGUAGGGAGCUGAAAGGUGACCGACCGCAAGGAGCCUGCACAGGUGCUGCAUGGCUGUCGUCAGCUCGUGUCGUGAGAUGUUCGGUUAAGUCCGAAAACGAGCGCAACCCCUAGCGUUAGUUACAGGUGUCUAGCGCGACUGCCUACGAGAAGUGGGAGGAAGGUGGGGAUGACGUCAAGUCAGCAUGGCCUUUAUAUCCAGGGCUACACACACGCUACAAUGGGUGGUACAGUGGGAAGCGAACGCGCGAGCGGGAGCGAAUCCUAAAAAGCCAUUCGUAGUUCGGAUUGCAGGCUGCAACUCGCCUGCAUGAAGCCGGAGUUGCUAGUAAACGCAGGUCAGCCAUACUGCGUUGAAUACGUUCCCGGGCCUUGUACACACCGCCCGUCACGUCAUGGGAGCUGGUCACGCCUGAAGUCGGUGAGCUAACCGCAAGGGAGCAACCGCCGAGGGCAGGGCUGGUGACUGGGACGAAGUCGUAACAAGGUAGCUGUAGCGGAAGCUGCGGCUGGAUCACCUCC